Molecule: transfer RNA, 89 nt
Filed under: Alistipes dispar
Lineage: Bacteria; Pseudomonadati; Bacteroidota; Bacteroidia; Bacteroidales; Rikenellaceae
Description: tRNA-Arg
Source: RNAcentral
UCGCGCGGUAGGCGGGCCAGAGGGCCAGCAUUCCGACUGCGAAGAUCGCCGCGCCGGUCAGCCCGACGUUCAGCCGCGUCGUGCGCGAA